AGCGAGCUGAAUUCAAAGAUUCCUUCGGGAUGAUUUGUUGGACGCUAGCGGCGGAUGGGUGAGUAACACGUGGGCAAUCUGCCCUAAAGACUGGGAUACCACUUGGAAACAGGUGCUAAUACCGGAUAACAACAUGAAUCGCAUGAUUCAAGUUUGAAAGGCGGCGUAAGCUGUCACUUUAGGAUGAGCCCGCGGCGCAUUAGCUAGUUGGUGGGGUAAAGGCCUACCAAGGCAAUGAUGCGUAGCCGAGUUGAGAGACUGAUCGGCCACAUUGGGACUGAGACACGGCCCAAACUCCUACGGGAGGCAGCAGUAGGGAAUCUUCCACAAUGGACGCAAGUCUGAUGGAGCAACGCCGCGUGAGUGAAGAAGGUUUUCGGAUCGUAAAGCUCUGUUGUUGGUGAAGAAGGAUAGAGGCAGUAACUGGUCUUUAUUUGACGGUAAUCAACCAGAAAGUCACGGCUAACUACGUGCCAGCAGCCGCGGUAAUACGUAGGUGGCAAGCGUUGUCCGGAUUUAUUGGGCGUAAAGCGAGCGCAGGCGGAAUGAUAAGUCUGAUGUGAAAGCCCACGGCUCAACCGUGGAACUGCAUCGGAAACUGUCAUUCUUGAGUGCAGAAGAGGAGAGUGGAAUUCCAUGUGUAGCGGUGGAAUGCGUAGAUAUAUGGAAGAACACCAGUGGCGAAGGCGGCUCUCUGGUCUGCAACUGACGCUGAGGCUCGAAAGCAUGGGUAGCGAACAGGAUUAGAUACCCUGGUAGUCCAUGCCGUAAACGAUGA
Molecule: ribosomal RNA, 778 nt
Filed under: Lactobacillus delbrueckii subsp. bulgaricus
Lineage: Bacteria; Bacillati; Bacillota; Bacilli; Lactobacillales; Lactobacillaceae
Description: bacterial SSU rRNA
Rfam family: Bacterial small subunit ribosomal RNA
Source: RNAcentral